Molecule: ribosomal RNA, 451 nt
Filed under: uncultured bacterium
Lineage: Bacteria
Description: partial 16S ribosomal RNA
Rfam family: Bacterial small subunit ribosomal RNA
Source: RNAcentral
GUGGGGAAUAUUGGACAAUGGGGGGAACCCUGAUCCAGCCAUGCCGCGUGUGUGAAGAAGGCCUUUUGGUUGUAAAGCACUUUAAGCGAGGAGGAGGCUACCGAGAUUAAUACUCUUGGAUAGUGGACGUUACUCGCAGAAUAAGCACCGGCUAACUCUGUGCCAGCAGCCGCGGUAAUACAGAGGGUGCAAGCGUUAAUCGGAUUUACUGGGCGUAAAGCGCGCGUAGGUGGCAAAUUAAGUCAAAUGUGAAAUCACCAAGCUUAACUUGGGAAUUGCAUUCGAUACUGGUAGUGUAGAGUAUGGGAGAGGAUGGUAGAAUUCCAGGAGUAGCAGUGAAAUGCGUAGAGAUCUGGAUGAAUACCGAUGGCGAAGGCAGCCAUCUGGCCUAAUAAUGACACUGAGGUGCGAAAGCAUGGGGAGCAAACAGGAUUAGAAACCCUGGUAGUCC